Molecule: ribosomal RNA, 746 nt
Filed under: Bdellovibrionales bacterium
Lineage: Bacteria; Pseudomonadati; Bdellovibrionota; Bdellovibrionia; Bdellovibrionales
Description: SSU rRNA
Rfam family: Eukaryotic small subunit ribosomal RNA
Source: RNAcentral
AUAGUAAUCUGGUUGAUCCUGCCAGUAGUCAUAUGCUUGUCUUAAAGAUUAAGCCAUGCAUGUCUAAGUAUAAAUAGUAUACAGUGAAACUGCGAAUGGCUCAUUAAAACAGUUAUAGUUUAUUUGAUAAUUGAAUUCUACAUGGAUAACCGUAGUAAUUCUAGAGCUAAUACAUGCGAUUAAACCUGACUCUUGGAAAGGUUGUAUUUAUUAGAUAUCAAACCAGUAGUCUUUCGGGAUUAUUGUGAUGAUUCAUAAUAACUGAUCGGAUCAAGGAGUUCCUUGAUAGAUCAUUCAAGUUUCUGCCCUAUCAGCUUUCGAUGGUAGUGUAUUGGACUACCAUGGCAGUCACGGGUAACGGAGAAUUAGGGUUCGAUUCCGGAGAGGGAGCCUGAGAAACGGCUACCACAUCUACGGAAGGCAGCAGGCGCGUAAAUUACCCAAUCCUGAUUCAGGGAGGUAGUGACAAGAAAUAACAACUCGGGUUCUUACGAAUUACGAGAUUGCAAUGAGAACAAUUUAAAUCACUUAACGAGUAACAAUUGGAGGGCAAGUCUGGUGCCAGCAGCCGCGGUAAUUCCAGCUCCAAUAGCGUAUAUUAAAGUUGUUGCAGUUAAAAAGCUCGUAGUUGAAUUUCUGAUUAUGAAUGUAGUGGUUUCCCGCUCCAUUUGUAGUCAUCCACAUGAGAACCCAUCUCGGCCUUAACUGGUCGGUUGGGGGAUCAUGUACUUUACUUUGAAAAAAUC